RNAcentral lists this ribosomal RNA (1148 nucleotides) under Aurantiochytrium limacinum. Its description in RNAcentral is "partial Bacterial large subunit ribosomal RNA". It matches the Rfam family "Bacterial large subunit ribosomal RNA", at positions 801 to 1829 of the family's 2925-position model. The record is from RNAcentral. Lineage: Eukaryota; Bigyra; Thraustochytrida; Thraustochytriidae.
GGGAUGAGCUGUGGAUAGGGGUGAAAGGCCAAUCAAACUUCGUGAUAGCUGGUUCUCUCCGAAAUGCAUUUAGGUGCAGCGUUGCGUGUUUCUUGUUGGAGGUAGAGCGACUGGAUGGUUUAGCGGGACUAUCAUCUUAGCGACAUCAGCCAAACUCCGAAUGCCAGCAAGGUGAGAGCGCGGCAGUGAGACUGCGGGGGAUAAGCUCCGUGGGUCGAGAGGGAAACAGCCCAGAUCGCCGGCUAAGGUCCCCAAGUCGUGGCUAAGUGGGAAAGGAUGUGGGACUCCCAAAACAACCAGGAGGUUGGCUUAGAAGCAGCCAUCCUUGAAAGAGUGCGUAAUAGCUCACUGGUCAAGUGAUUCCGCGCCGAUAAUGUAGCGGGGCUUAAGUUAUCCGCCGAAGCUGUGGCAACCUGUGUGGUUGGGUAGGGGAGCGUCGUGUCAGUGGUGAAGCUGCCGGGUGACUGUGUGGUGGAGUUGAUGCGAGUGAGAAUGCAGGCAUGAGUAGCGUGUGACGGGUGGGAAUCCCGUCCGCCGAUUAUCCAAGGGUUCCAGGGUCAAGUUUGUCUGCCCUGGGUGAGUCGGGUCCUAAGGCGAGGCCGACAGGCGUAGUCGAUGGGUAACCAGUUGAUAUUCUGGUACCGGCUUGUCACCGUCCGUGUCGAGGUGUGUGAUGCUAAGCAUGUGAGCUUGUCUUGGGAGUGUUUUUGAUGCUUCUGGGGUGGGUGAGUGUGUGAACCGAUCAUGUAGUAGGCAAGCUGCGGAGGGACGCAGUGAGGUAGCUCAUCCCCGGUGAUGGUUGUCCGGGGCUAAGUGUGUGGACUGUCUGGUAGGUAAAUCCGCUGGGCGUGAAGGUUGAGGCAUGAUGGGGAGCCCAUGGUUGUGGGUGAGUGAGUGAUCCUGUACUGUCGAGAAAAGCUUCGUGAGCGAGGUGGCGGGUCCGCCCGUACCCUAAACCGACACUGGUGGAUAGGUAGAGUAUACCGAGGCGAUCGAGUGAAUCGUGGUGAAGGAACUCGGCAAAAUGCCCCCGUAACUUUGGGAUAAGGGGGACCUGAGCUGUCGUGCACCCGUGCGGUGUGGUGGCGGUGAGGGGCGCAGAGUCCAGGGGGAAACGACUGUUUACCAAAAACACAGGUCCGUGCGAA